RNAcentral lists this ribosomal RNA (363 nucleotides) under Microctonus sp. Larva_id3. RNAcentral describes it as "partial 16S ribosomal RNA". Lineage: Eukaryota; Metazoa; Arthropoda; Insecta; Hymenoptera; Braconidae. The record is from RNAcentral.
UCAACAUAAAUUAAUUAAAAUUAUUUUUUAAGUAAAAAAAUCAAAUAUUCUCAAAAGAAGCAGAAGAACCCCAUAGAAUUUAAUAUUUAAUUAAUUAAUAAAUAUUAUUAUUAUUAUUAAUAUAUAUAUAUAUAUAUAUAUAUAUAUACAUAUUAAUUUAAAUUAAAUAUUUAAUUGGGGCAAUUUUUAAAUUAAAUAAACUUUAAAAUAUUUUUUACAAAAAUAAUUGAAAUUAAAUAUAUUCUUAUAUAUAAUAUAAUAAAAUUAAUUACCUUAGGGAUAACAGCAUAAUAUUUUUUUUUAGACCAAAUAAAUAAAAAAGAUUAUGACCUGCGUAUGUUGAAUUAAGAAAAAAUUAAAUAG